GGAGAAGGGAUACUUAUCAAAGAAAAACAUCCUUUCAGCAGCAGCAUUUUCUGAGGAUAGUGGAGGAGUUGUUCUCCCUUAGGGGGUUCUGUAAAGAUGAGAAAACUGAGACUGAAGUGAUGUAUACAGAUUCACUCGGCUAGAAAAAUGGCAAAGUUGGAACUGCGGUCCUCCAGCAUUACCUGUUCAACAACCACUCCAUGUUGUCUCUUACCAGACGGACUCGCAAAGACGAGCUUUCUUCUUAAUUUUCUAGAAGAUAUCCUAUGUUCAUGGAUGGGAAGAAUUAAUACUGUUAAAAUGUCCAUGUGACCCAAAGCAAUCUACGGAGUCAAUGCAAUCUUUAUCAACGUUCUGAUGGCAUUUUUCACAGAAAUAGAAAAAACAAUCCUAAAAUUUGUAUGAAAUCACAAAAGCUUCUGAAUACCCAAAGCGAUCUUGAGGAAGAACAAAGUUGGAGGCCUCACACUUCUAGAUUUCAAACUACAUUUCAAAUCCAUAGUAAUUAAAACCAUGUGGAACGGGUAUAAAAACAGGCAUAUAGGCCAGUGGAAUAGAACAGAGUUCAGAAAUAAACCUAUGUAUAUAUGAUCAAUUAAUUUUCAACAAAGGAGCCAAGAAUAUACAAUGGGGAAAGGAUAGUUUUUUCAGUAAAUAGUACGGGAAACCUGGACAGCCACAUGCAAAAGAAUGAAACUGGAUCUGUAUUUUUUGCUAAACACAAAACCCAACUCAAAAUGGAUUAAAACUUGAACGUAAGACUGUAACACCCCGAAGAAAACACUGGGGGUAAGCUCCUUGAUAUCAGUCUUGGCAAUGACUUUUGGGGUUUGACACCAAAAACAAAGGCAACAAAGGCAAAAGUCAACAAGUGGAACUACAUCAAACUAAAAAGCUUCUGCCCGGUACAGAUGAGGAAACAGUGAGGCUCUAAGAGAGAUAGGUUAAGUGACUUGCUCAAGGCCACCCCACUACACAUAUCCAUAAUCUGGAGAUCAGUCCUGGGAACAGUGCAUGGCUGCUGUCCUCUGAAGGAGACCCAGGAGACACGGUGAGAAACGUGGAGUAAUAGAAGGUUGACAGCUCAUUGCUUGUUCUCAAUCUGAGGUCUGGGCUCAGCUGGCUUGCCCUGACUCCCUUUUACCUGGAAGAAAAAUAUUUCUACUUUCAUACUAAGCCUUUUGUGUCCUAGACCUGUUACUUUACCCCUUGCAGAUUCCCAUUUUUAUUUCUGGGAAAAGUGGAUUCCUCAACACACAUUUACAGAAUACUUCUGUCGUAAAAGGCUUUGUGCUAGAACAGGGGCUACCCAAUGAGCAAGGCAAGCCUGGAUCCAGUCCUCAGUCUAGCAGAAGCAGAAAGGCUGCCUAAAAUGAUUAAUCCUAGAAUUAGUUAAUUCUAUAAUUAAUCCUGAGAAUGCCUUGGAUAAUCAGCAUUCACAACUUGGUCGGGCUCAUGUUAGGUGGCCCCUACCUGCCCUGUUCUGGAUCCUGAGCUGCUUUUCCCAGCCUCUGGAUCUGUACUAUUCUGUGCUGGUUUCCUGAUGCCCACCUCGGGCCCCAGAUAGUGAUUUAUGGGUAUCUACGUGGAUGACCCACACCACUGUGUUCUCCUGCUCGGCCUGAGCACCUGAAUUUAUCCCUGUGCUAGUUACUGGGGAUGGGAUGAUGAACAAGUCAGACAUGGCUCCUGUUUUUAGAAAUGCCUGCUGGUUCCUGGCCUCUAUUCUCUGGCCAGGGAUAUUAAUGUCUUUCCUGUUCAUUUGGAGUCGUUGAGCAUUAGCUUUGGCUCUAUUACACAGAAUCUAGCUUACGUGUGUCUUCCCUUUGAUCUCACAUCCAUCUCCACCCUAAACUUUGAUGUUUGGGUCCAUGGUAACUGUACAUCUCCUUCCCUGAUGACCAGACCCCCAGCCGUAGUCUCACCUCACGCAAGACAGCUUCCUGCCACCACGCCCACUAGCUUAGCCUACUUUCUUUCUUUCUUUUUUUUUUUUUUUUUUUUUUUUUUUAGAUUUUAUUUAUUUAUUUGACAGAGAGAGAGAGAGAGAGAGGAUGAGAGAAGGAACACAAGCAGGGGAGGCUAGAGAGGGGGAAGCAGGCUUCCCGUGGAGCAGGGAGCCUGACGUGGGGCUUGAUCCCAGGAUGCUGGGAUCAUGAUCUGAGCCAAAGGCAGAUGCUUAUCAAUUGAGCCACCCAAGCAUCCCUGCUUGGCCUACUUUCUAGUUCUGUCCCUUCUUGUACCACUUCUUCUGAGGCAACCCUGAGGCUGACCCAUCAUAAUAGACCCUUGAUAUAAACCUAGGAAUUAAAUCAACUCCAGAGUGGUUCAGAAAUUUCAAGAACCUCUAGAACAAUCUAGAAGAGUUGGCUGUAGUUCGAUAGUAUGCUCUGUGUUGAGAUGACCUCUUUUUAUUCCAGGGCUUUUCUGUGCUCCAGAAGUUUAAAAGAAAGGAAAGAGAGUCUUGUGGGUGUGCAUCAGGGUGAGAUGAGAAACUCAUCAUACAGAACUUGAGUCUCUAGAGAAAGUUGGAAGCCUCAAGCCCAGC
Long non-coding RNA from Mustela lutreola (European mink), 2548 nucleotides. RefSeq lists it as uncharacterized. The record is from RefSeq and is a predicted model, not a curated record. Lineage: Eukaryota; Metazoa; Chordata; Mammalia; Carnivora; Mustelidae. The transcript is spliced from 3 exons.